This 280-nucleotide ribosomal RNA is filed under the name uncultured bacterium. Its description in RNAcentral is "partial 16S ribosomal RNA". It matches the Rfam family "Bacterial small subunit ribosomal RNA", at positions 773 to 1060 of the family's 1533-position model. The record is from RNAcentral.
GUGGAUUAGAUACCCUGGUAGUCCACGCCGUAAACGAUGGAUACUAGCUGUUGGUAGCAAUAUCAGUGGCUAAGCGAAAGUGAUAAGUAUCCCACCUGGGGAGUACGGGCGCAAGCCUGAAACUCAAAGGAAUUGACGGGGGCCCGCACAAGCGGUGGAGCAUGUGGUUUAAUUCGAUGAUACGCGAGGAACCUUACCAAGGCUUAAAUGUAGAUUGACAGGUUUGGAAACAGACUUUUCUUCGGACAAUUUACAAGGUGCUGCACGGUUGUCGCCAGCU